RNAcentral lists this ribosomal RNA (406 nucleotides) under uncultured bacterium. Its description in RNAcentral is "partial 16S ribosomal RNA". It matches the Rfam family "Bacterial small subunit ribosomal RNA", at positions 29 to 526 of the family's 1533-position model. The record is from RNAcentral.
AGUGAACGCUGGCGGCAGGCCUAACACAUGCAAGUCGAACGAGUGGCGGACGGGUGAGGAAUACAUCGGAAUCUACUCUGUCGUGGGGAACAAAGUAGGGAACCUUACGCUAAUACCGCAUACGACUGUAUGAGCCGAUGUCGGAUUAGCUAGUGGGCGGGGUAUAGGCCCACCAAGGGGUCGAUCCGUAGCUGGUCUGAGAGGAUGAUCAGCAACACUGGAACGGAGACACGGUCCAGACUCCUACGGGAGGCAGCAGUGGGGAAUAUUGGACAAUGGUCGCAAGCCUGAUCCAGCCAUCCCGCGUGGGUGAAGAAGGCCUUCGGGUUGUAAAGCCCUUUUGUUGGGAAAGCGGUACCCAAAGAGUAAGCAACGGCUAACUUCGUGCCAGCAGCCGCGGUAAUAC